GUAGGGAAUAUUGGGCAAUGGAUGCAAGUCUGACCCAGCCAUCUCGCGUGCCGGAAGAAGGCCCUCAGGGUUGUAAACGGCUUUUGACGGUGAAGAAUCGACAGGAUGCGUCCUGUUUUGACGGUAGCCGUUGAAUAAGCACCGGCUAACUCCGUGCCAGCAGCCGCGGUAAUACGGAGGGUGCGAGCGUUGUCCGGAUUUAUUGGGUUUAAAGGGUGCGUAGGCUGGAAGGUCAGUCAGCGGUGAAAAGCUGUCGCUUAACGAUAGUCUUGCCGCAGAUACUUCCUUUCUUGGAUGAGGAGGAGGCCACUGGAACGGAUGGUGUAGCGGUGAAAUGCAUAGAUAUCAUCCAGAACACCGAUUGCGAAGGCAGGUGGCUGUACCUUAAUCGACGCUGAUGCACGAAAGCAUGGGGAGCAAACAGGAUUAGAUACCCGGGUAGUCC
This 445-nucleotide ribosomal RNA is filed under the name uncultured bacterium. RNAcentral describes it as "partial 16S ribosomal RNA". It matches the Rfam family "Bacterial small subunit ribosomal RNA", at positions 354 to 796 of the family's 1533-position model. The record is from RNAcentral.